Molecule: long non-coding RNA, 819 nt
Organism: Rattus rattus (black rat)
Lineage: Eukaryota; Metazoa; Chordata; Mammalia; Rodentia; Muridae
Exons: 2
Source: RefSeq, a predicted model, not a curated record
GUAAACUCUUCACCCUAGCUUUCUGAUUAUCCUUGCACUGCCUGUACCUUCAUGUUUCUCUGUGUGAAAGAGCUCACCUCCCUGUCUUGGUUUCUACAGCCCCUUCAUGAAGUAGGAGUCAAUGUAUCUAGGGAUGUGUGAAGGUGGUGGAUCCCGCCGGGCGCAUUCUACAAAGAGGAACUUGGUUGGAGAAUGGAGUCCAUGCCCCAGUAGCAAGCCACUUUUCAUCUGCCUCAGAAAAUCUCUUGCUUCUGUGGUGGCCUCAGGAUGAUGCUGUAACCCGUCUGGCAGAACUGACAUCUUGUAUCUCCAUCUGAGGAAACAAUGGAUCCCCCAAGAAAUGGGAAUUUCCCCAGGAAUGUCAUGCUGGGGGAAGGACAGGGUGCCAGGUGGAGCUUGUUAAGAGAUUUCACACAGUUCUACAACCUGUUAGUCUCCUGACAGGAUAAGACUGAAGCCCAGACAACAAAUGGGUCAGGAGUGGGCAGAACCACACCUUGACUGGAACUGCUUAAAUGUGCAGAUCCUCAGCCCUCUGUUUAAACUUUGAUUUUACCUGAGUACCCUGAAGAUGGACCUGGGGGUCUUGCUGAAUCUCUUCAUCCCAUUCACAAUGUGGACACACUGAGUCAUUUGAGAGAGGAAGACACACCCUUCUAUGGGAAAUCCCAUUCUGUGGGCUGCGGUCCCGUGAUGAAUAAAAAGAGAAAGUGAGCACUCAUCAGGGUGAACAGUUCCUCAAGAUCUUGCCACCCGACUCCCUGCUAUCUUGGACCGCGUGUACCCUCAAACUGUGAGCCCAAUAAACUCUUCCUUCCU